GUUCUUGGUUUUGUUCUGACAUGAAUUGAAUCAGAGUGAGCCGAUGUUCUGAGCACAGACGGUCCAAUCCUGACCCAGGUGAGCCUCAGCCCAACAGUCCAAGCAGAGAGGCCUGUAACGCUUCAGCAAACCCAGUAAGGCUGCACAGUUGGAGGCGAUACCUGCGCUGCAUGCACGUCAUUGUUUACAUCAUGAAGGUACCAGUGUUGGGACUAAGGCGUUAUUAAGUAACGCGUUACAGUAACUACGUUAUUAUUGUGGUAAGUAGCACGGUAACUAGUUAUUAUGCCAAAACCAGGAACGCGUUACUCGUUACUGGGAUUUAGAUAGG
Molecule: long non-coding RNA, 331 nt
Organism: Astatotilapia calliptera (eastern happy)
Lineage: Eukaryota; Metazoa; Chordata; Actinopteri; Cichliformes; Cichlidae
Source: Ensembl